CUAUGCCCUAGGGCUAGUGGAAGACUUAAGAUGGCGGCGUUUGCACGGAGUGCAAUCACUGCGUCCUUACGGGGGUUGCAAGGCGUCCGAAGUAUGAGUCCACUAACAAAAGUCCAGAAACUCGCCAGUUAAUAGUAUUGUGUCUCUUCAAAAUAUCGGAGAAUAAUUUCUUUCUCGCUGAUCGCCUAACUUCUACUGACGAAGCUUGGAAGUUGCAGAAGAUGGAGUUCGCUCUUGUUGCCCAGGCUGGAAUGCAAUGGCAUGACCUUGGCUCACUGCAACCUCUGCCUCCCCAGUUCAAGUGGUUCUCCUGCCUCAGCCUCCCGAGUAGCUGAGAUUACAGGUACUGGCUCCUGUAUCACCCAGCUCUGGAGUUGAAAGAGCUCUUCAUUCCUGAGUCUCCUGUACCACUGAGAAUAGAAAUACAAAAAAAAUUCUAAAACUUGUAUGGAACUACAAAAGACAUUAAAUAAUCAAAGUAAUCUUGAGCAACAAGGACACA
Molecule: long non-coding RNA, 502 nt
Filed under: Homo sapiens (human)
Lineage: Eukaryota; Metazoa; Chordata; Mammalia; Primates; Hominidae
Description: non-protein coding JPX:5
Rfam family: JPX transcript, XIST activator conserved region 1 (bases 9-143)
Source: RNAcentral